UACGGAGGGUGCAAGCGUUAUCCGGAUUCACUGGGUUUAAAGGGUGCGUAGGUGGGUUGGUAAGUCAGUGGUGAAAUCUCCAGGCUUAACUUGGAAACUGCCAUUGAUACUAUCAAUCUUGAAUACCGUGGAGGUCAGCGGAAUAUGUCAUGUAGCGGUGAAAUGCUUAGAUAUGACAUAGAACACCUAUUGCGAAGGCAGCUUACUACGCAUAUAUUGACGCUGAGGCACGAAAGCGUGGGGAUCAAACAGG
This 253-nucleotide ribosomal RNA is filed under the name uncultured bacterium. RNAcentral describes it as "partial 16S ribosomal RNA". It matches the Rfam family "Bacterial small subunit ribosomal RNA", at positions 524 to 776 of the family's 1533-position model. The record is from RNAcentral.